CAGUAAAGCAGUCAGCAGUGUCAGAGGAACACAGGAAGUUGCCUGUCUGGGGACUGAAAUGCAAUCAAGACCUGGCAUGCGCACGACAUUGUCUCGGUAGAUCAUAACUCUAUUUCGCGACACUGCUCUGUCCUUUGACUCCCUCGUCUUCCUGUGCAGGUCCUGGGUGCGAAACCUUCCAUCCCUGCUGGCUCCUCACCCUGUCCCCACCGCCGGCACUGCAGGCUAUCGCUCAGCCCGGUGCUGAAUGCAAAACAACAGACAGACAAGGACCACAAGAAAGAAACCAAGUUCCCCUGUGCAACUUUCAAAUAUCCCCUCCGAGAAGUAAGAACGAGUCAAUGGAGAGAAACUGACGAGAGAGACCUGAGGGACUGAGAGGCUGCGCUUGGGAGCAAGAGGACCGUGGUGCAGAGGCACAGACAUCAGGGACCUCAGUUCUGAGCUCUUUCUGGAAACUACCCCGGGAGAGAACCAAGUACACAGGGGCAAAGCAGCAGUGUCCCGUUCACGCCUACGCGUGUUUGCUCAAAUCACGUGAGGUUUGUUUAUUUUCAUUUUCAAAUGCAUCAACAUUACAAUAUCCAGCCUCUCUGAAAAAAAAAAAAAAAAAAGACGAUCUGUGUCUGUGUUUGCCCUUGAGAAGCCAUCAGCAGGACUGAACAGAGGUUCCCAAAGCACGGAUCCUGAGAGCCCAGCCGCGCACAACUCCGACUUCUCCACCUCCCUGCCACAGGCUCCCACUGGUGUGGAGUGUAGGGUAAAGAUGUCUGAAGAAGGUGAAAGGUUGUGAUUUGAAACGUGCCUCUCCCUUUCACAGGCACGCUUUCCCGACUCUGUCUGAGUCCGUGCCUUUCCUUCUGUGGAUGGCUUGCUGAUGCUACUGUCUCCGUGGGACAGAUCGCUGGAUGGAUGCAAAUAGUUUGUAAUGAUUGGAACGAAAGUACCAAAUGCACACUAAGCGGGAUAGCUGUUAGCUUCCCCUGGUCAUUCCUUUGGGUUAAGCAUUACCUACGGGAUGUACUUUCUUUUCAAAUACAACCAGCCCUGGGUAGUCACUAUAUUGAGCAAUGUGUGGUGUGGAAUGCUGCCCUCUGGACCUGGCUGGACGACCGCAUUUUUGAAAUCAGAGAACCUGUGAUUAUCUUCAGGAGGCCCUCAUGAUACCAGGCAGGAGCAAACAGGACAAAGGGGUCAGAAAACUCAGUGUAAGAACACUGCUGCCCAGUCACAAUCAGGCACUAGCGAAAGCACAGCCUUUGUUUGGCGCUGCCUCAUCUUGCCCUUGAUCGCCGAGCCUUAUAGUGUCAAACCAGCUGAGGGAACCAUGGGUCUUCUUCUUCUUCUAAUGUCAUGGAGAAAAAUGUUCCUUCUGAGUAGAAAAGACAUCAGUGAGCCCCAACAGCAUUGACCUGCCUCAUUCCGAUGGCAGUUCUCUGAGCUGCUCCAGCUUGUUGCUUCCUGGAGGCUGCACAGACCUGGAUAAUAACCAACAACAUCCUGCCUGCUUCUCCCAGCAAGAACCCCUCACAUCCUAUACUCUAGCUUUUGUUUGUUUGUUUGUUUUUGUUUUUUUGUUGUUUUUGUAACGUCUCCCUAAUGAGCAUCCUCUGAUCAACUCCUUGCAGCCGUCUGAUAGGCUAUGAAGGAUAAUUGCGCUGGAAAAUGAGGCCAGAUUGUUAAACAAUUAAA
This is a long non-coding RNA of Alexandromys fortis (reed vole), 1692 nucleotides long. RefSeq lists it as uncharacterized. The transcript has 3 exons. The record is from RefSeq and is a predicted model, not a curated record. NCBI's taxonomy places the organism in Eukaryota, Metazoa, Chordata, Mammalia, Rodentia, Cricetidae.